RNAcentral lists this microRNA precursor (112 nucleotides) under Chlorocebus sabaeus (green monkey). RNAcentral's name for it is "miRNA (ENSCSAG00000024103.1)". Lineage: Eukaryota; Metazoa; Chordata; Mammalia; Primates; Cercopithecidae. The record is from RNAcentral.
UGAGGCAGGAGAAUCGCUUGAACCCAGGAGGUGGAGGUUGCAGUGAGCUGAGAUUGCACCACUGCACUCCAGCCUGGGUGACAGAGUGAGACUCCGUCUCAAAACAAACAAA